Molecule: ribosomal RNA, 702 nt
Filed under: uncultured bacterium
Lineage: Bacteria
Description: bacterial SSU rRNA
Rfam family: Bacterial small subunit ribosomal RNA
Source: RNAcentral
GGAUUAGAUACCCUGGUAGUCCACGCCCUAAACGAUAUCUACUAGUUGUCGGGUCUUAAUUGACUUGGUAACGCAGCUAACGCGUGAAGUAGACCGCCUGGGGAGUACGGUCGCAAGAUUAAAACUCAAAGGAAUUGACGGGGACCCGCACAAGCGGUGGAUGAUGUGGAUUAAUUCGAUGCAACGCGAAAAACCUUACCUACCCUUGACAUGGCUGGAAUCCCCGAGAGAUUGGGGAGUGCUCGAAAGAGAACCAGUACACAGGUGCUGCAUGGCUGUCGUCAGCUCGUGUCGUGAGAUGUUGGGUUAAGUCCCGCAACGAGCGCAACCCUUGUCAUUAGUUGCUACGUAAGGGCACUCUAAUGAGACUGCCGGUGACAAACCGGAGGAAGGUGGGGAUGACGUUAAGUCCUCAUGGCCCUUAUGGGUAGGGCUUCACACGUCAUACAAUGGUACAUACAGAGCGCCGCCAACCCGCGAGGGGGAGCUAAUCGCAGAAAGUGUAUCGUAGUCCGGAUUGUAGUCUGCAACUCGACUGCAUGAAGUUGGAAUCGCUAGUAAUCGCGGAUCAGCAUGUCGCGGUGAAUACGUUCCCGGGUCUUGUACACACCGCCCGUCACACCAUGGGAGCGGGUUUUACCAGAAGUAGGUAGCUUAACCGCAAGGAGGGCGCUUACCACGGUAGGAUUCGUGACUGGGGUG